RNAcentral lists this ribosomal RNA (253 nucleotides) under uncultured bacterium. Its description in RNAcentral is "partial 16S ribosomal RNA". It matches the Rfam family "Bacterial small subunit ribosomal RNA", at positions 524 to 776 of the family's 1533-position model. The record is from RNAcentral.
UACGUAGGGUGCAAGCGUUGUCCGGAAUUAUUGGGCGUAAAGAGCGCGCAGGCGGCUGGCCAAGUCCGAUGUGAAAUCUCCCGGCUUAACUGGGAAACUGCAUCGGAAACUGACCGGCUUGAAGGUGGGAGAGGGUAGUGGAAUUCCCGGUGUAGUGGUGAAAUGCGUAGAUAUCGAGAGGAACACCUGCGGCGAAGGCGGGUUGCUGGGCUGACACUGACGCUGAUGCGCGAAAGCCAGGGGAGCGAACGGG